RNAcentral lists this ribosomal RNA (625 nucleotides) under uncultured archaeon. Its description in RNAcentral is "bacterial SSU rRNA". It matches the Rfam family "Archaeal small subunit ribosomal RNA", at positions 1 to 604 of the family's 1478-position model. The record is from RNAcentral.
GGGGGAAGCAUGCAGCUUGCUGCCUGCAGGUCUCUGGUUGAUCCUGCCGGACCCGACUGCUAUCAGAGUGGGACUAAGCCAUGCGAGUUGACGUAGUAAUACGUAGCGAACGGCUCAGUAACACGUAGUCAACAUGCCCAGGGGACGUGGAUAACCUCGGGAAACUGAGAAUAAACCGCGAUAGGUCACAAUUUCUGGAAUGGAUUUUGGCUUAAAUCUACAUGGCCCCUGGAUUGGACUGCGGCCGAUCAGGCUGUUGGUGAGGUAAUGGCCCACCAAACCUGUAACCGGUACGGGCUCUGAGAGGAGGAGCCCGGAGAUGGGCACUGAGACAAGGGCCCAGGCCCUAUGGGGCGCAGCAGGCGCGAAACCUCUGCAAUGGGCGAAAGCCUGACAGGGUUACUCUGAGUGAUUUCCGCUAAGGGGAUCUUUUGACACCUCUAAAAAUGGUGUAGAAUAAGGGGUGGGCAAGUCUGGUGUCAGCCGCCGCGGUAAUACCAGCACCCCGAGUGGUCGGGACGAUUAUUGGGCCUAAAGCAUCCGUAGCCGGUUCUGCAAGUCUUCCGUUAAAUCCAGCCGCUCAACGGAUGGGCUGCGGAAGAUACUAUAGGACUAGGAGGCGGGA